CUUGCAUUGCGUAAACGUUGUCGCCAUUAAAUUCUGCGGGUCUGGGUUCUGCAGACCCCUGUGGCCCCAGGACUUACCCGAAGGGCGCACUUCUUGGGGAUGCGCAUCCCGUAGUCGCAGGAGAAGG
Molecule: non-coding RNA, 127 nt
Organism: Callithrix jacchus (white-tufted-ear marmoset)
Lineage: Eukaryota; Metazoa; Chordata; Mammalia; Primates; Cebidae
Source: Rfam